AGCCGAAUUAAAGGGAACGGGUGUCGGAAGCAGAAGGGCCGAACUUCAUGACUUCUAGAAGGGGAGGGGAAUGAAAGGCUCUCAGUGAAGAAGGCAUACCUUUUUGUAUUGCAUUUCGCUUUAUUGCACUUCGCAGAUACUGCGUUUUUUACAAAUUGAAGUAAAGAUGCUAUUAAGAUUGUUGAAAUGACAACAAAGGAUUUAGAAUAUUAAGUAAACAUAGUUGAUAAAGCAGCAGCACUGUUUAAAAGGAUUGGCUCCAGUUCUGAAAGAAGUUCUGUGGGUAAAAUGCCAUCAAACAGCAUUGCAUACUACAAAGAAACCCCUCACAAGAGGAAGAGUCAACUGAUGCAGCAAACUUCAUUAUUGUCUUAUUUUAAGAAAUUGCCACAGCCACCCCAACCUUCCACAGUCACAACCCUGAUCAGUC
Molecule: long non-coding RNA, 430 nt
Organism: Hipposideros armiger (great roundleaf bat)
Lineage: Eukaryota; Metazoa; Chordata; Mammalia; Chiroptera; Hipposideridae
Exons: 3
Source: RefSeq, a predicted model, not a curated record